UUGGAGGGCAAGUCUGGUGCCAGCAGCCGCGGUAAUUCCAGCUCCAAUAGCGUAUAUUAAAGCUGUUGCAGUUAAAAAGCUCGUAGUUGAAAUUCGAAAUUUGUCCUAUGGUCGGGCUUUACGGUCCGUACAGUAGUGGCGAAUUUCUACCUUCUGAAGAACCUUCAUGUCAUCAAUUUGGUGUGUUGGGAAAUCAGGACUGUUACUUUGAAAAAAUUAGAGUGUUUAAAGCAGGCUUAAGUCUGAAUACAUUAGCAUGGAAUAAUGAAAUAGGACGGAUUGGUUCUAUUUUGUUGGUUUCUAGGAUCACCGUAAUGAUUAAUAGGGAUAGUUGGGGGCAUUAGUAUUCAAUUGUCAGAGGUGAAAUUCUUGGAUUUAUUGAAGACUAACUUCUGCGAAAGCAUUUGCCAAGGAUGUUUUCAUUAAUCAAGAACGAAAGUUAGGGGGUCGAAGACGAUCAGAUACCGUCGUAGUCUUAACCAUAAACUAUGCCGACUAGGGAUCGGACGAAGUUAAUUUUAUAAUGACGCGUUCGGCACCUUACGGGAAACCAAAGUGUUUGGGUUC
This 567-nucleotide ribosomal RNA is filed under the name uncultured Glomeromycotina. RNAcentral describes it as "SSU rRNA". It matches the Rfam family "Eukaryotic small subunit ribosomal RNA", at positions 548 to 1114 of the family's 1831-position model. The record is from RNAcentral. Lineage: Eukaryota; Fungi; Glomeromycota.